Molecule: ribosomal RNA, 463 nt
Filed under: uncultured bacterium
Lineage: Bacteria
Description: partial 16S ribosomal RNA
Rfam family: Bacterial small subunit ribosomal RNA
Source: RNAcentral
GACGAACGCUGGCGGCGUGCUUAACACAUGCAAGUCGAACGGAAAGGUCCGGUUUUGGGGCGGAGCUCUAGUUGCGAACUGGUGAGCAACCCGUAGGUAAGCUACCACUGACCGAGAGAGAACCUCAGGACACUGGGGCUCAUACCGGAUAAGAGCUCCUGCCGCAUGGUGGGGGUUGGUAAGAUUUGGCGGUUGGGGAUGGACACGCGUUGGAUCAGCUAGUUGGUAGGGUAGUAGCCUACCAAGGCGACGAUGCAUAGCUGGGCUGAGAGGAUGAUCAGCCACACUGGGACUGAGACACGGCCCAGACUCCUACGGGAGGCAGCAGAGGGGAAUAUUGGACAAUGGGCGAAAGCCUGAUCCAGCAAUGCCGCGUGAGUGAUGAAGGCCUUAGGGUUGUAAAGCUCUUUUACCCGGGAUGAUAAUGACAGUACCGGGAGAAUAAGCUCCGGCUAACUCCGUG